This 404-nucleotide ribosomal RNA is filed under the name Fusobacteriota bacterium. Its description in RNAcentral is "Fusobacteria bacterium partial 16S ribosomal RNA". It matches the Rfam family "Bacterial small subunit ribosomal RNA", at positions 355 to 776 of the family's 1533-position model. The record is from RNAcentral. Lineage: Bacteria; Fusobacteriati; Fusobacteriota.
UGGGGAAUAUUGCACAAUGGAGGGAACUCUGAUGCAGCGACGCCGCGUGAGUGAUGAAGGAAUUCGUUUCGUAAAACUCUGUUCUAUGGGAAGAAAAGGACUGUACCAUAGGAGAAAGCUCCGGCUAAAUACGUGCCAGCAGCCGCGGUAAUACGUAUGGAGCGAGCGUUGUCCGGAAUUAUUGGGCGUAAAGGGUGCGCAGGCGGCUUUACAAGUUGGAUGUGAAAUAUUGUGGCUCAACCACAAACGUGCAUCCAAAACUGCAAAGCUUGAGUUAAGGAGAGGGAAGGGGAAUUCCUGGUGUAGCGGUGGGAUGCGUAGAUAUCAGGAGGAAUACCGGGGGCGAAGGCGACUUACUGGACGUAAACUGACGCUCAGGCACGAAAGCGUGGGGAGCAAACAGG